GAUGAACGCUAGCUACAGGCCUAACACAUGCAAGUCGAGCGGACGAGAUUUCUUCGGAGAUCGAGUUAGUGGCGAACGGGUGAGUAACGCGUGAGCAACCUGCCUUUCAGAGGGGGACAACAGUUGGAAACGACUGCUAAUACCGCAUAACGCAUUCGAGGGGCAUCCCUUGAAUGCCAAAGAUUUAUCGCUGAAAGAUGGGCUCGCGUCUGAUUAGCUAGUUGGUGGGGUAACGGCUCACCAAGGCGACGAUCAGUAGCCGACCUGAGAGGGUGACCGGCCACAUUGGGACUGAGACACGGCCCAA
RNAcentral lists this ribosomal RNA (307 nucleotides) under uncultured bacterium. RNAcentral describes it as "bacterial SSU rRNA". It matches the Rfam family "Bacterial small subunit ribosomal RNA", at positions 28 to 334 of the family's 1533-position model. The record is from RNAcentral.